Long non-coding RNA from Homarus americanus (American lobster), 290 nucleotides. RefSeq lists it as uncharacterized. The record is from RefSeq and is a predicted model, not a curated record. The transcript has 3 exons. NCBI's taxonomy places the organism in Eukaryota, Metazoa, Arthropoda, Malacostraca, Decapoda, Nephropidae.
GUGAGGUCAAGGUGAUUAGUGAGGUUAAGGUGAUUAGUGAGCACUACUAACAGCCUGGUCGUCUCCCCACAGGUCUAACUACCAGUAUGAGGACGAGUCUACCAACAAGAGAAGAAAAAGAGGAUCUAUAUUCUUUAGGAAGAAGAAGGACAAGCCUAAGAAGAGCUCCCAUCAGUUCGUGUCUGUCUGCUACAGUAACUCAGCCACCUGUGACGUGUGUAGCAAGCCUAUGACCAACAAGCCGGCCCUUCGCUGUGAGACGUGUCAGGUGUGUGUGCACAGAACUCUUG